GAUAAUUGGUGAACGUUUUCGCGAGGCACUAAACGCCAUUGUCUAUGUACACGCCUGUUUGAAAUUGCUAUCAUUACGCACUGUUUCUUGCUAUUGUCGUUAUGUAUGUAUUUUUUUCCGAAUCCCCAGUGUAAUGCGUUUGGCCUAUAGGCUAAAUAAAUAGGAAAAAAAGUGUAUUGCGAUAACCGCGUGGCUAGCUAUGUUUCCUGAGCGCUAUUAAAUUUGAAAUUCUGUUCUUUUUUUUACACUCAACAUAUCAGCUAGUUUAUGAAAUCGCGACCCUCUGUAGUAUAUCGCAAUGCUGGCCAUUCUCGUUGCUACAACAUUAUAUAAAGCAGACGAGAGUAGAUUAGAACGCCUUAUGAAUUUUAGAACUAAAGUAAACGCUAGGACUUCGAUAACGACUGGCUACCGGUGUCUUUAGUAGUUCCCGGUGCUCCAAGGUAGUACAAUUUUCCUGUAUCUCUCUAUGUGUAGUUGGGAACGAAUAUGAAAGGAAAGGAUGAUUCACUAACCUGGUCCUCUUUUUGGAGCGAGUUGUAGUGACAAUUUCUUCGACCAAACUACUUAUACUACAAUGAGUCACUUUCAUUCUGUUUCUUUUUGUUCUUGGCGGGCUGGCCUUAGAGUUUGCUGAAUGCGUAAAGCAAAGUGCUUGUAUGAUCGGAACGAGAAAUGCACUUCUGGAAGCGUCUAUUUUUUUGUGUAACAUGGUUACCUUGCGUCUACAGCGAAGCAUGCACAGGGUCCUGUCUUGUGGAAUGGUGUCCAAGUACUGAAGAUAUGCUUUCUAAUUAUUCGUUAUCAUCAGAAGCAAUUGACCCGGAAGCUGACCAAAAUUCCUGCCCAAUUUCGUGGUGCCCAUCAGUUAAGCGCUCGGGCAAAAAUGAAUGGAUAUGUCGCGGAGGCAUAGAUCCUGAGCUACUGCCAGAAGAUCCUAAAACUAUAGAAGUUACUGCAACACUAACGGAAGAGUUACCGAAUCAACCACCGCCUCAACCACCGAAUGCCGAUGAGCUUUCCGACUGUCGACUGCAAAAAACCAGAGCGAGAAGGAGGCCCGUGUUUG
This 1069-nucleotide long non-coding RNA is filed under the name Dermacentor andersoni. RNAcentral describes it as "uncharacterized LOC126525200". The record is from RNAcentral. Lineage: Eukaryota; Metazoa; Arthropoda; Arachnida; Ixodida; Ixodidae.